Molecule: long non-coding RNA, 2578 nt
Organism: Xiphophorus hellerii (green swordtail)
Lineage: Eukaryota; Metazoa; Chordata; Actinopteri; Cyprinodontiformes; Poeciliidae
Exons: 2
Source: RefSeq, a predicted model, not a curated record
AAAAGACAAAACUAGAUCCUGUUAAGCAUUCUUCAAAAUAAAAGACUUCCUCUAUUAAAUAAAUUGCACUUAAAUAUGUUUCACUUCAACUUUUGUAAUUAUAUACAAUCAUGUUAAAUUCAAUUAAUAAUAAUCAUCAUGUAAAUUAUAUUUAAAUAAGUGUAAAGAAGUCACAACAACAGUCGCUCUGUGAGGUUUUUUAUUUUAGCUCAGAAACUACUUCAACUUACAAAAACUAAAGUUGCCAAUUUCUCACUUUCUUUGUGAUAUUUGGUCAAAAACUGUUUAAGACGAAUGAAAGAAUCUAAUCAAGGUUUAUUCCUGAGCUUAAUUGUUCAGCACCAAAACACAGACUGCUCUGCAGAACCAGAACCAGAACCAGAACCAGAACCAAACAGAGAAGCAGAAUUCAGUUUUAUGCUCCACUAAUCUGGGACAAAUUCACAGAAAACUUCAAAACAGGUGAAACACUGAGUUACUGUAAGACUAACAACCACUUGUUCAGAUUUACCUUUGAUAGCAAUAAUAACUGAAACAUCGUUAAUUUUAGUACAUUUUUCUUUACCUUCCUUCAUUAAACCACUUCCAUGCUCGACUUGUUUGUGUUUUCACUUCUAACUGCCUCAUCCUGAAAAGGGAGCUUCCUGAAAACUUGUCUGGGCUUGAAGCUGAAUCUGAUCUCAUCUUGACAUGAACUCAUUCAGUAGGGAGUGGACUGGAUUUCAGCUGCAGCACGUCUCUCUAUUCAGAGCUUUAAGUGAAAACAGAGAGCAUACUGGUGUUUUCCCAUUCAGUAACUGGCCAGUUAAAUCAGGCUGUUGGUCUGUUAAUGGAUCUGAACGCUCAUCAAUAAAAUAUUGUUCUGUGGACUUAAUGACGUCCUCAGAGAGGAAAUGAAACAAAGCAAUUUUAUCCAAACCAAUCGAUGUCAAAGGUCUAAAAUGUUCUGUAACGUCUGUAAAGUUUGAAGAAACCAGCUGACUGGUCAGAGGAUGUUACCGUCCAAAACCUGGUUGUGUUCAUGUAAACAGAGAUAUCUUUACUGAAAACACAGUUUGGUUCCUGAUCAUCACAUCCAGUCAUUUUUAUUUAUUAGAAACAAACUGGCACCAAGCAAUAAACAGAUUAAAUGAAAAACUAUUUGGAGAUAAAAUUCCCAGAGGAUUUAUUGGAAAAACGCCGGACAUUUCAAACUAAACGUUUAGUUUCAGUUUCUCUAUUAUCCUUUUCUAAAGAAAAGUUUCCCUCCACUUUCACUGAUCCUGGGUUCUCAUUUGAUUAACAUUUACAUUUUGUUAACCACCAUACAUACAUGUUUGGACAUUUCCAUGUUUUAGAGAAACAUUGUCAGAUAAGUGAAAAACAACCAGAGAUGUCUGACAGGAAACAGGAAAAGGAUCAGAACCUCCAACUUCCUGCUGUGAGCUUCCAGACGCUGCAGUAGGGAUGAGGGAAGCAAAGAGGCGUGGCCUACAACUCCCAGCAUUCAGCUGACUACAACUCCCAGCAUUCAGCUGACUUCAACACAUCUGAGUCAGGAAUCUUGCUGCUCUGUCAUGAAGCAGAGAGUCUGAAUUCAUUCAGUGGUUUAAAUCCAAACAGAACCGUUCUGCUCCGUCCUCAGCAGGAUCCGUACGGUCAGAACCAACAGGCACACGGAGAGCAACGAACCAGCGAAAGAUUUCCACCUCUCAGGGUGAAGCCAACACACGGGACGCAGCAGUGACUGAAGCUGAUUGUUUAUCAGCUUCUUGUGCUGCGUUGCUAGUUUGUGUCUCUGUGUCUGAACUCAAAAUUAUACAUGCAAAAAUCUCAUUGGUCUGUUGGCUGGAGGAGGAAAAGUUGUUGUCGAUUUAUCACUGAAGUUCCAUUGGACAUGGAUGGAGAGAGAUCGACAUCACUUCCUGUGUCAGAACAUUGUCAGGCUGGAAGGGAUGGAAUGUGUAACUUGUUCUGGUCAUUCUGGGGUCUUUCCUCAGACAGAAACACCUGAAAACGUCCAAACGUCCAGCACUGAGAGAAAAUAAGUAAUUAUUGAUGUGACAGAAGCAGCGGCUUUGACUCCUGGGUGGUUUGUGUGUGGAUGUGGGUCUGACUGUCACCAGUAUGAAUGGUUGGUUACUGGUGCUCUGGCUUUGUGUGCAUGUUGAGUUUGUUGUCCCGUUGAUUGUUGGCAUUUGUGCAUUAGGCCUGGUCAGUCUGUGUCCUUGUAAAGUUUCAACUAUUACAAUCAAAAUGGAAUAAAUCGAAGAAGUGGCCUGGAGUUAAUUGAAGCACGCGUCGGCCAGAUGAGUUUCCCGAGUUAACCCAGGGUGGCGCUCAUACACCAUGAGUUUGCUGCACUUUUAAAUCUUUUGGGUCCAGAGAUCCAGCAGAUCUUCUCUAAGCUCCUUACCUGAUCUCUGAGAGGAAACUCCUUUCAGCAGCUUCUACCUGAGAACUUGUUCCUUCUGUCUGAUCCAUCGCUAAUGACAUCACACUUUUAUAACACUUUAACACUCCAAGGUUCUCAAAGACACUUUACAUGAAAUCAGUCACAAUCACACACUGAUGAUGAAAAGCUAUGGAUAGUAGCCCU